GCUCUGUUAGUGUAGGCGGUAAGCACGUGGGCCUUUGAAGCCCGAAUCCUGGGUUCGACUCCCAGACGGAGCA
RNAcentral lists this transfer RNA (73 nucleotides) under bacterium. RNAcentral describes it as "tRNA-Gln". It matches the Rfam family "tRNA". From Rfam's summary of the family: Transfer RNA (tRNA) molecules are approximately 80 nucleotides in length. Their secondary structure includes four short double-helical elements and three loops (D, anti-codon, and T loops). The record is from RNAcentral.